Rhipicephalus microplus (southern cattle tick) is the source of this 639-nucleotide long non-coding RNA. The record is from RefSeq and is a predicted model, not a curated record. NCBI's taxonomy places the organism in Eukaryota, Metazoa, Arthropoda, Arachnida, Ixodida, Ixodidae.
ACCAGGAGGCGCAUAUGCAGCAGCUCGAAGCACAACAUUCGUGCCAGCACAUUCCAAAGAGGCUGCAUCAACAGAAGUAUCACCUGUGCCCAUGGCUGUUGAAAGUGCAAGCAAGGAGGCUGCUGUGGGGCCUUCCCUAAUCUUCGAAACUCGCACGGAUGUAUUGUCAUGUGCAGAAGCAACCACGGUCAUUAGUGAGGAGCUCAACGCAGUGCUUCCAGGGCCCUCGGAACUCUGCAGCAGGGUUUUAGCACCUGGGCAGCCUUCAAAGAAGCCCAUCAGGACCAGCAUUUGAAAACAGCCCCAAGAAUAGAAUAAGCAAGGAGCUGCCCAUACCAACUGCCAUGCUGCUAACACCAAAGACAAAAAGGAAGGGCAUCAUGGUAAACGAUGCUGCCAAUGAAAUUGAUUGUCACAUGCUCAGUUAUGAGGAAUGUUUGCAUGUGAAAAUGUGCAUCUGUCCGUGUAUGUGUAAAUGAAGUUGACGCAUUUUUUGAAAUGUAGCUGACUAAUAAAGAAUGUUCAGGCAACAUUGAACGUGCAUGAACAGGCUCACCAUGACCUUUAUAACAAUGUACUAACAUGCAUCAUGCAUGCAUGUAAAAAUGAGUCAAUAAACCAGUGAUUUCUUACAUGUGA